AACGAACGCUGGCGGCAUGCCUAACACAUGCAAGUCGAACGAGAUCUUCGGGUCUAGUGGCGCACGGGUGCGUAACGCGUGGGAAUCUGCCCUUUGGUUCGGAAUAACAGUUGGAAACGACUGCUAAUACCGGAUGAUGACGAAAGUCCAAAGAUUUAUCGCCAGAGGAUGAGCCCGCGUAGGAUUAGCUAGUUGGGGUGGUAAAGGCGCACCAAGGCGACGAUGCUUAGCUGGUCUGAGAGGAUGAUCAGCCACACUGGGACUGAGACACGGCGCAGACUCCUACGGGAGGCAGCAGUGGUGAAUAUUGGACAAAGGGCGAAAGCCUGAUCCAGCAAUGCCGCGUGAGUGAUGAAGGCCUUAGGGUUGUAAAGCUCUUUUACCCGGGAUGAUAAUGACAGUACCGGGAGAAUAAGCCCCGGCUAACUCCGUGCCAGCCGCCGCCGUAA
RNAcentral lists this ribosomal RNA (449 nucleotides) under uncultured bacterium. RNAcentral describes it as "partial 16S ribosomal RNA". It matches the Rfam family "Bacterial small subunit ribosomal RNA", at positions 29 to 523 of the family's 1533-position model. The record is from RNAcentral.